This 440-nucleotide ribosomal RNA is filed under the name uncultured bacterium. Its description in RNAcentral is "partial 16S ribosomal RNA". It matches the Rfam family "Bacterial small subunit ribosomal RNA", at positions 338 to 795 of the family's 1533-position model. The record is from RNAcentral.
CCUACGGGAGGCAGCAGUGGGGAAUAUUGCACAAUGGGGGAAACCCUGAUGCAGCGACGCCGCGUGAGUGAAGAAGUAAUUCGUUAUGUAAAGCUCUAUCAGCAGGGAAGAAAAUGACGGUACCUGAGUAAGACGCCCCGGCUAACUACGUGCCAGCAGCCGCGGUAAUACGUAGGGGGCAAGCGUUAUCCGGAUUUACUGGGUGUAAAGGGAGCGUAGACGGCAGUGCAAGUCUGGCGUGAAAGGCGGGGGCUCAACCCCCGGACUGCUCUGGAAACUGUACGGCUGGAGUGCAGGAGAGGUAAGUGGAAGUCCUAGUGUAGCGGUGAAAUGCGGAGAUAUUAGGAGGAACACCAGUGGCGAAGGCGGCUUACUGGACUGUAACUGACGUUGAGGCUCGAAAGCGUGGGGAGCAAACAGGAUUAGAUACCCUUGUAGUC